AUUGAACGCUGGCGGCAGGCCUAACACAUGCAAGUCGAACGAGUGGCGGACGGGUGAGUAAUGUCUGGGAAACUGCCUGAUGGAGGGGGAUAACCACUGGAAACGGUCGCUAAUACCGCCUACCUUCGGAUAUGCCCAGAUGGGAUUAGCUAGUAGGAGGGGUAACGGCUCACCUCGGCGACGAUCCCUAGCUGGUCUGAGAGGAUGACCAGCCACCCUGGAACUGAGACACGGUCCAGACUCCUACGGGAGGCAGCAGUGGGGAAUAUUGCACAAUGGGCGCAAGCCUGAUGCAGCCAGGCCGCGUGUAUGAAGAAGGCCUUCGGGUUGUAAAGUACUUUCAGCGGGGAGGCGUUACCCGCAGAAGAAGCACCGGCUAACUCCGUGCCAGCAGCCGCGGUAAUAC
This 406-nucleotide ribosomal RNA is filed under the name uncultured bacterium. RNAcentral describes it as "partial 16S ribosomal RNA". It matches the Rfam family "Bacterial small subunit ribosomal RNA", at positions 30 to 526 of the family's 1533-position model. The record is from RNAcentral.